GCAAUCUCAUAAGCUCAGUCGGUUGGAGGGUGGGCCCAAUAAGCCCAAGGUCGCAGGUUCGACCACUGCUGACGGCA
Parelaphostrongylus tenuis is the source of this 77-nucleotide non-coding RNA. Lineage: Eukaryota; Metazoa; Nematoda; Chromadorea; Rhabditida; Metastrongylidae. The record is from the annotation of a GenBank genome assembly.